AGCCAUAGCUAGGGGUGUCUGUCGCAAGAAAUCAGACUGAGAUAGUCCCUUAGAACCUGAGACUGGGUAAUACCAGCGUAGGGAAGCUGUUUAUUAAGGAC
Molecule: non-coding RNA, 101 nt
Filed under: Limnothrix rosea
Lineage: Bacteria; Bacillati; Cyanobacteriota; Cyanophyceae; Pseudanabaenales; Pseudanabaenaceae
Also listed under: 1 other name
Description: TPP sequence
Rfam family: TPP riboswitch aptamer (THI element)
About the family: Vitamin B(1) in its active form thiamin pyrophosphate (TPP) is an essential coenzyme that is synthesised by coupling of pyrimidine and thiazole moieties in bacteria.
Source: RNAcentral